ACACGUGGACAACCUGCCUCAAGGCUGGGGAUAACAUUUGGAAACAGAUGCUAAUACCGAAUAAAACUUAGUGUCGCAUGACACAAAGUUAAAAGGCGCUUCGGCGUCACCUAGAGAUGGAUCCGCGGUGCAUUAGUUAGUUGGUGGGGUAAAGGCCUACCAAGACAAUGAUGCAUAGCCGAGUUGAGAGACUGAUCGGCCACAUUGGGACUGAGACACGGCCCAAACUCCUACGGGAGGCUGCAGUAGGGAAUCUUCCACAAUGGGCGAAAGCCUGAUGGAGCAACGCCGCGUGUGUGAUGAAGGCUUUCGGGUCGUAAAGCACUGUUGUAUGGGAAGAACAGCUAGAAUAGGAAAUGAUUUUAGUUUGACGGUACCAUACCAGAAAGGGACGGCUAAAUACGUGCCAGCAGCCGCGGUAAUACGUAUGUCCCGAGCGUUAUCCGGAUUUAUUGGGCGUAAAGCGAGCGCAGACGGUUUAUUAAGUCUGAUGUGAAAGCCCGGAGCUCAACUCCGGAAUGGCAUUGGAAACUGGUUAACUUGAGUGCAGUAGAGGUAAGUGGAACUCCAUGUGUAGCGGUGGGAAUGCGUAGAUAUAUGGAAGAACACCAGUGGCGAAAGCGGCUUACUGGACUGCAACUGACGUUGAGGCUCGAAAGUGUGGGUAGCAAACAGGAUUAGAUACCCUGGUAGUCCACACCGU
Molecule: ribosomal RNA, 703 nt
Filed under: Leuconostoc mesenteroides
Lineage: Bacteria; Bacillati; Bacillota; Bacilli; Lactobacillales; Lactobacillaceae
Description: bacterial SSU rRNA
Rfam family: Bacterial small subunit ribosomal RNA
Source: RNAcentral